Molecule: ribosomal RNA, 545 nt
Filed under: Botrytis cinerea
Lineage: Eukaryota; Fungi; Ascomycota; Leotiomycetes; Helotiales; Sclerotiniaceae
Description: eukaryotic LSU rRNA
Rfam family: 5.8S ribosomal RNA (bases 181-334)
Source: RNAcentral
UCUUCUCCUAGGUGAACAUGCGGAAGGAUCAUGACGAAGAGCCAGCCCGAAGGGGAGACCUCCCACCCUUGUGUAUUAUUACUUUGUUGCUUGGGCGAGCUGCCUUCGGGCCUAGAAUGCUCGCCAGAGAACACCAAAACUCUUUUUAUUAAUGUAGUCCGAGUACUAUAUAAUAGUUAAAACUUUCAACAACGGAUCUCUUGGUUCAGGCAUCGAUGAAGAACGCAGCGAAAUGCGAUAAGUAAUGUGAAUUGCAGAAUUCAGUGAAUCAUCGAAUCUUUGAACGCACAUUGCGCCCCUUGGUAUUCCGGGGGGCAUGCCUGUUCGAGCGUCAUUUCAACCCUCAAGCUUAGCUUGGUAUUGAGUCUAUGUCAGUAAUGGCAGGCUCUAAAAUCAGUGGCGGCGCCGCUGGGUCCUGAACGUAGUAAUAUCUCUCGUUACAGGUUCUCGGUGUGCUUCUGCCAAAACCCAAAUUUUUAUAUGGUGACCUCGAACCAGGUAGGGAGAACCGCUGAACUUAAGCAUAUCAAAUGGGGAAGAAAACG